UCCAACGAGGGGUCCCCCUGAAUCUCAGCUGCCUCAGAACCCACAGCCCCAUGCGGCCCCGAGCCUCCCUCCUGCACGUGUUCUACAGGACAGGCAGGUGGUGGGGGGCCCGCAGGUGAAAUAGAGAUUUUUGGAGUUCACUUGAGUUAGCAAAAUGAAUUAAGCAUUUAAAUUUUAUCUUGUAGAGUUGUGUGUUGAAUUUUAAUCUUUUACUUAAGAAACCUCUUCCAUGAUACAAAGGGCAUAGGAAAAUGCAAACUUCUGGAGCUUCUUGCAUAACGAACAGUACCAGAGGAGACCAAGGGAUGCAAAGAACCCAGAUAAAGUGGCUUCUCUGUCUCCAAGCUUAUCAAGACUGACAGACAUACUCAGAUAAGUACCAACGGACCAAAAGUGCACGUGCAAAGGAGAGAAGUUCAAAAGUUUGCUGCUGGUCCCGGGGGAUUUGGGGAUCUGGGAAUUUUAAUUUACAGUGAUUUGGGGUCACAGGGAUUUGAGGUCAAAGAGUUUUGGGGCACGAGUUUUGGAGUCGCAGGGAUUUGGGGCACAGUGAUUUGGAGCCACAGGGAUUUGGGGUCACAGGGAUUGAGGAUCACAGGGAUUUGGGAUUCGGGGGAUUGGGGGUCACAGGGAUUUGGGGUUCUGGGGAUUUGAGGUCAUAGGGAUUUGGGGUUCUGGGGAUUUGGGGUCAUGGGGAUUUGGGGUCCUGGUGAUGUGUCACAGCCCCUUCCCCACUCCCUUAACUUUUAGGGUGCCCCAGGGUCCCCCUGGGGUGCUUCUGGGCUGGGGAGGCACCCAGGGGGGUCCAGGACCAACCCAAACUCCCCCAAACCUCAUGUGUGGGGGGUGGGGGUGCUCUGAUGCCACUCAAGGCACCAUUGGUGCCACCUGCGGGAUGAUACAUGGAGCCAGAGGGGAACCCCAAAAUCCCUCAAAACUCCCCAAGACCCCCCAAACCCCAUAAAAUUGACCCAAAACCCCGCAGGGGCCCUGGCUGAACCUGAAAUCUGCUGGAUGCCGAGCUCUUCCUCUACAGCCUCAUCCUCACCGGCCUCUACGUCUGCCUCAGGUUCAUGACACAGCGAUUGUGGAGAGCGGCUGAGCAGAAGGAGGAAGAGGCCAUUUAUGCCAGUCUCAGCCCGGGGUACCAGGAGACCUAUGACACCGUAUAGAUGCAGAGCUCGUGACCCCUCCGUGUCCCCCCCAUGUCCCCUCCUGUCCCCUCCCCUGUCCUCAAACCCCCCUGCCCCCCCACCAGGAUGGAAAAUUGGGAUUUUUCCUCCUGGAAAUGCCGGAUUUGGGUGGAAAAUUGGGAUUUUUUACACAAAAAGCACCCCCCUUUCCAAAUCUGGAAGAUUUUGUGGUGUCUCCCCCUCACCCAACCCAUACAACCCCCACCCUUAUGAUGUCUGCCCCCCAAAUUCUGACCAAAAACAACCCAUGGAAAUAAACCAGUUCAAACCAAUUUAAACCAGUGCUCCCAGCUGAACCCAAAAGCUGUGGUUUGGUCCCAAAAGUGGAGGAAGGGUAAAAAUUGGGAUAAAAUAGGUAUAAAAUACAGAUUUAAAAGAUUAAAAACAGAGAUUAAAUGGGGCUUAAAGGGUUAAAAAUUGGGGUCAAAAUUUAGGAUAUAAUGGGUAAAAAUAUGGAUUAAAAUGGAUUAAAGUAGGGAUUAUAAAAAUUAUAAAGUAAGAAUAAAAUGGGGAAAAUGUGGAGAUAAAUAGGGAUUAAAAGGACUUAAAAUAGAGACAAAAAUGGGUAAAAAUAGAUAAAAUAUGGGUAAAAGUAGGGAUAAGAAGGGGUAAAAAUAGGGAUAGAAUGGGGCAAAAUAGGGAUAAAAAUGGGUUUUAAAAUGGGUUAAAACUACACAUUAAAAUGAGCUAAAAAUUGGGAUAAUGUGUUUGAAAGGGUUCCAAAUAAGUGAUAAAAAGGUUUAAAAUGGGGUUAAAAUGGGUUAAAAAUAGAUGAAAAUGGGUUAAAAUAGGGAUAAAUUUGGUAAGACUAGGGAUUAAAUUGUGUAAAAAUAGGGAUUAAAAUUGGUUAAAAAUAGGAAUUAAAAAGAAUAAAAUAGGAAUUAAAAAGAGUAAAAAUAGGGAUAAAUAUGGGUUAAAAUAUAUGAAAAGUGGUUAAAAAUAGGGAUUAACAUUGUUAAAAAUAGAGAUCAAAAAGGGUUGAAAUAGCGGUAAAAUGAGUUAAAAUCAUAAAAAUGGGUGAAAAGGGAGAAAAAAUGGGUUCAAACCAUGGAAGAAGAAAGGGGAAAUGUCCCCCAUAUCCCUGGGGAAUGGCAGCUGGCAUCAGGAGGUGGCAUCAGCAGGUGACAAGGUGGCAUCCGGGUGGCAGCAGGAGGUGGCAGAGUGGCACCAUGGUGGCAGCAGGAGGUGGCAGCACUGGCCGUGCCCCAGGCCUUCUUUUCCACCAGAGCACAGUACUUGUUGGGCACCUCAGUGUACCUGCAGGGGACAGAGUGACACAAGAGGGGACAUCAGUGGUGCCAGGAUGUGCCAGGAGGUGGCACAGGUGACAGAACAGGUCCCAGGAGGUGCCAGGAAGUGACAGAGGUGCCAGAGGUGCCACAGCAGGUGGCACAGGAGGUGACAUCGGAGGUGACAUUGCCACCCCACACCUGAGGUGCUGCAGUUUCUGCUUUCCCACUCGUGCCAGGUGCUCUGCCUGCUCCCGUGCCCCUGACAGCUCCCACUGUCCCUCCUCGAUGGCCGCGGCUCUGUCGC
Molecule: long non-coding RNA, 2729 nt
Organism: Passer domesticus (house sparrow)
Lineage: Eukaryota; Metazoa; Chordata; Aves; Passeriformes; Passeridae
Exons: 4
Source: RefSeq, a predicted model, not a curated record